Molecule: ribosomal RNA, 468 nt
Filed under: uncultured bacterium
Lineage: Bacteria
Description: partial 16S ribosomal RNA
Rfam family: Bacterial small subunit ribosomal RNA
Source: RNAcentral
GAUGAACGCUGGCGGCGUGCCUAACACAUGCAAGUCGAGCGAUUCUCUUCGGAGAAGAGCGGCGGACGGGUGAGUAACGCGUGGGUAACCUGCCCUGUACACACGGAUAACAUACCGAAAGGUAUGCUAAUACGAGAUAAUAUGCUUUUAUCGCAUGGUAGAAGUAUCAAAGCUCCGGCGGUACAGGAUGGACCCGCGUCUGAUUAGCUAGUUGGUAAGGUAACGGCUUACUAAGGCGACGAUCAGUAGCCGACCUGAGAGGGUGAUCGGCCACAUUGGAACUGAGACACGGUCCAAACUCCUACGGGGGGCAGCAGUGGGGAAUAUUGCACAAUGGGCGAAAGCCUGAUGCAGCAACGCCGCGUGAGCGAUGAAGGCCUUCGGGUCGUAAAGCUCUGUCCUCAAGGAAGAUAAUGACGGUACUUGAGGAGGAAGCCCCGGCUAACUACGUGCCAGCAGCCGCCGCCG